CCUGGCGGCACUAGCGCGGUGGUCCCACCUGACCCCAUGCCGAACUCAGAAGUGAAACGCCGUAGCGCCGAUGGUAGUGUGGGGUCCCCCCAUGCGAGAGUAGGGAACUGCCAGGC
This 116-nucleotide ribosomal RNA is filed under the name Salmonella enterica. Lineage: Bacteria; Pseudomonadati; Pseudomonadota; Gammaproteobacteria; Enterobacterales; Enterobacteriaceae. The record is from RNAcentral.